This 484-nucleotide ribosomal RNA is filed under the name uncultured bacterium. RNAcentral describes it as "partial 16S ribosomal RNA". It matches the Rfam family "Bacterial small subunit ribosomal RNA", at positions 30 to 507 of the family's 1533-position model. The record is from RNAcentral.
AUUGAACGCUGGCGGCAGGCCUAACACGUGCAAGUCGAGCGGAUGAAGGGAGCUUGCUCCUGGAUUCAGCGGCGGACGGGUGAGUAAUGCCUAGGAAUCUGCCUGGUAGUGGGGGAUAACGUCCGGAAACGGGCGCUAAUACCGCAUACGUCCUGAGGGAGAAAGUGGGGGAUCUUCGGACCUCACGCUAUCAGGUGAGCCUAGGUCGGAUUAGCUAGUUGGUGGGGUAAAGGCCUACCAAGGCGACGAUCCGUAACUGGUCUGAGAGGAUGAUCAGUCACACUGGAACUGAGACACGGUCCAGACUCCUACGGGAGGCAGCAGUGGGGAAUAUUGGACAAUGGGCGAAAGCCUGAUCCAGCCAUGCCGCGUGUGUGAAGAAGGUCUUCGGAUUGUAAAGCACUUUAAGUUGGGAGGAAGGGCAGUAAGUUAAUACCUUGCUGUUUUGACGUUACCAACAGAAUAAGCACCGGCUAACUUCGUG